Molecule: RNase P RNA, 370 nt
Filed under: Acrosorium ciliolatum
Lineage: Eukaryota; Rhodophyta; Florideophyceae; Ceramiales; Delesseriaceae
Description: rnpB
Rfam family: Bacterial RNase P class A (bases 1-302)
About the family: Ribonuclease P (RNase P) is a ubiquitous endoribonuclease, found in archaea, bacteria and eukarya as well as chloroplasts and mitochondria. Its best characterised activity is the generation of mature 5'-ends of tRNAs by cleaving the 5'-leader elements of precursor-tRNAs. Cellular RNase Ps are ribonucleoproteins.
Source: RNAcentral
GAGGAAAGUCCGGGCUCUAUUUAGAGAAUUAUAGCUGUAUAAAAUACAGUGUAGGUAACUGCGAGGAUAGUGCCACAGAAAAAAACCGCCUUUUUUUAUUCUUAAUAAUAAAUAAAAGGUAAGGGUGCAAUGGUACGGUAAGAGCGUACCAGAAAUAUUUUCAAAAUAUUUGCUAGGUAAACCCCAUAUUUGAGCAAAGCAAUUAGUGAAUAUAACAUUCUAUAUUUAUAUAAUAAUUAAGACUAAUUUAUUUAUAUACUGCAUGAAGUAAUAUAAUUAUUACUCUAGAUUAAUGAUUACCCUUUUUGUUUAUAAUUACUAUGAACUAUAAAUAUAGUAUAAUUACAAUUAAGAACAAAACCCGGCUUAU